RNAcentral lists this small RNA (192 nucleotides) under Vibrio tubiashii. Its description in RNAcentral is "MicX Vibrio cholerae sRNA". It matches the Rfam family "MicX Vibrio cholerae sRNA". The record is from RNAcentral. Lineage: Bacteria; Pseudomonadati; Pseudomonadota; Gammaproteobacteria; Vibrionales; Vibrionaceae.
AUAAGAACGAUAAGGGCGACCGCAAGGUCGCCCAUUUUGUUUCUCAGCUUAACACUUUUGGUUUGGCCGCCGAUCAGUUAAGUCGAGAGCAGAACUGGCGUUACGCAUAGCUGGCUGUUAGCUAGAUUCCUUACUAUUUCACUACUAACAGUUUUUGUAACCAUAACCCGGCUUUGUCCCGGGUUUUUUUAU